Molecule: non-coding RNA, 32 nt
Filed under: Homo sapiens (human)
Lineage: Eukaryota; Metazoa; Chordata; Mammalia; Primates; Hominidae
Source: RNAcentral
UGCUAGAAGUGACUGCAGAAGCAGUGAUGGGU